Molecule: long non-coding RNA, 247 nt
Organism: Cyprinus carpio carpio
Lineage: Eukaryota; Metazoa; Chordata; Actinopteri; Cypriniformes; Cyprinidae
Source: Ensembl
AUGGGGGGAAGGCAGCAGAGGUCAAAGUGCACUGGCUACCUUGCUCUUCCUGUGGCAGAGUCUGGGAGGACACCUGGGAGCCGGCCAGCAAAUUCGCCUGAUGACCAAUACUGUUGUACUAUUUGUUUUGUAUAUAUUUGUCAAUAAUUAAAUUCACUAUUGUUACAUUUUAUGAUUUGUCUGUCAAUCAAUGACUGCACUGAAUAAUUAAUGUGUCAUGACUUUGUGCUGUAUUUGGAAAAGUUAA